GACGAACGCUGGCGGCGUGCUUAACACAUGCAAGUCGAACGGAAAGGCCCUGCUUUUGUGGGGUGCUCGAGUGGCGAACGGGUGAGUAACACGUGAGUAACCUGCCCUUGACUUUGGGAUAACUUCAGGAAACUGGGGCUAAUACCGGAUAGGAGCUCCUGCUGCAUGGUGGGGGUUGGAAAGUUUCGGCGGUUGGGGAUGGACUCGCGGCCUAUCAGCUUGUUGGUGGGGUAGUGGCUUACCAAGGCUUUGACGGGUAGCCGGCCUGGGAGGGUGACCGGCCACAUUGGGCCUGAGGUGCGGCCCAGACUCCUACGGGAGGCAGCAGUGGGGAAUAUUGCACACUGGGCGGAAGCAUGAUGCAGCAACGCCGCGUGCGGGAUGACGGCCUGCGGGUUGUAAACCGCUUUCGCCUGUGACGAAGCGUGAGUGACGGUAAUGGGUAAAGAAGCACCGGCUAACUACGUG
Molecule: ribosomal RNA, 468 nt
Filed under: uncultured bacterium
Lineage: Bacteria
Description: partial 16S ribosomal RNA
Rfam family: Bacterial small subunit ribosomal RNA
Source: RNAcentral